Molecule: long non-coding RNA, 268 nt
Filed under: Lathyrus oleraceus (garden pea)
Lineage: Eukaryota; Viridiplantae; Streptophyta; Magnoliopsida; Fabales; Fabaceae
Description: Pisum sativum (pea) long non-coding RNA (PSAT_LNC002301)
Source: RNAcentral
AAUCUCGUAAUUAAAAUUUAAUUUAAUUAUAUAAAAUCACUUGGAUGUAUAGGUUCUUGAUCAACUUCUUAUAAGGGUGAUUCUUACAUUACAUGAAUCCAUUCUAAGUUAGCUUAGAGUUAAAUUUAGUUGUUUUUGAUUUCGGUUGAUUUUCAGUCUCGUGGCUUACUCUUGGGCCUUCUUACAAUGAGCUCUUAAUCAACAUCAACUUAACUUUUAAUAAUUUCAAACCUUUGUAUUUUAAUUAUUUUAAUUCGGACAUAGAUCC